Molecule: ribosomal RNA, 1684 nt
Filed under: Rondeletia loricata (redmouth whalefish)
Lineage: Eukaryota; Metazoa; Chordata; Actinopteri; Beryciformes; Rondeletiidae
Description: 16S rRNA
Rfam family: Bacterial large subunit ribosomal RNA (bases 98-1605)
Source: RNAcentral
CGCCCAACAGCUAGCCCGAAACCCCAACCCAACAUCCCAACAUAAAUACCCUUAAAUACCCCUAAUUUAAAUACAAACAAACCAUUUUUCCCUCUUAGUACGGGCGACGGAAAAGAGACCCAGGAGCAAUAGAAAUAGUACCGCAAGGGAAAGCUGAAAAAGAAAUGAAAUAACUCAUUCAAGCUACAAAAAGCAGAGAUUUAAACUCGUACCUUUUGCAUCAUGAUUUAGCUAGUAUCACCCGAGCAAAGAGCCCUUUAGUUCGGCACCCCGAAACUGGACGAGCUACUCCAAGACAGCCUAUUAUAGGGCAAACCCGUCUCUGUGGCAAAAGAGUGGGAAGAGCUUUGAGUAGAGGUGACAGACCUACCGAGCCCAGUUAUAGCUGGUUACCUAGGAAAUGAAUAGUAGUUCAGCCCCCCGACUUCCCAUCCCACCCUAGCCUCACUCAACCUGGAUGCCGGUUAAACCGAGGGAGUUAUUCAAAGAAGGUACAGCUCCUUUGAAAUAAGAUACAACUUUAACAGGAGGCUAAAGAUCAUAAUUACCAAGGAAAAGUGUUUCAGUGGGCCUAAAAGCAGCCAUCUUAAUAGAAAGCGUUAAAGCUCAGACACAACCUCCAACCCCCGAUACUGAUAAAUAAUCUAAACCCCCUAAACCUACUAGGUCCUCUCAUGCAGCCAUGAAAGAGACCAUGCUAAUAUGAGUAAUAAGAAGGUAGCAGACCUUCUCCCCGCACACGCGUAUAUCGGAACGGACUCCCCACCGACCCACAACCGGCCCCAACCAAAGAGGGAAUUGAAUAAUAAACUAGAGUACUAGAAAGACACUCAAUUAUAAACCGUUAGCCCCACACCGGAGUGCACACAAGGAAAGACUAAAAGAAAAAGAAGGAACUCGGCAAACACAAGCCUCGCCUGUUUACCAAAAACAUCGCCUCUUGCAACAAUUAACAUAAGAGGUCCCGCCUGCCCUGUGACUAUAUGUUUAACGGCCGCGGUAUUUUGACCGUGCGAAGGUAGCGCAAUCACUUGUCUUUUAAAUGAAGACCCGUAUGAAUGGCACAACGAGGGCUUAGCUGUCUCCUUUUUCUAGUCAAUGAAAUUGAUCUCCCCGUGCAGAAGCGGGGAUUAUAACAUAAGACGAGAAGACCCUAUGGAGCUUCAGACACAAAGCAGUCCACUCCAAACACCCCAAAAUAAAGGGGCAAAUCAAGUGGCCCCCUGCUCAAAUGUCUUUGGUUGGGGCGACCGCGGGGAAAAAUAAAACCCCCACGUGGAAUGAGAGAACUUCUCCCACAACCAAGAGCCGCCACUCUAAGUAACAGAACCUCUGACCAGAAUGAUCCGGCAAAGCCGAUCAACGGACCGAGUUACCCUAGGGAUAACAGCGCAAUCCCCUUCCAGAGCCCAUAUCGACAAGGGGGUUUACGACCUCGAUGUUGGAUCAGGACAUCCUAAUGGUGCAGCCGCUAUUAAGGGUUCGUUUGUUCAACGAUUAAAGUCCUACGUGAUCUGAGUUCAGACCGGAGUAAUCCAGGUCAGUUUCUAUCUAUGAUAUGAUCUUUUCUAGUACGAAAGGACCGAAAAGAAGAGGCCCAUGCUUGAAGUAUGCCUCGCCCCCACCUAGUGAAGACAACUAAAGUAGGCAAGAGGGCAUGCCCCCCAGCCUGAGAACAUGGCAU